This 471-nucleotide ribosomal RNA is filed under the name uncultured bacterium. RNAcentral describes it as "bacterial SSU rRNA". It matches the Rfam family "Bacterial small subunit ribosomal RNA", at positions 28 to 507 of the family's 1533-position model. The record is from RNAcentral.
GAUGAACGCUAGCGGCAGGCCUAAUACAUGCAAGGUCGAACGGUGUCUUCGGACAUAGUGGCGCACGGGUGCGUAACACGUAUGCAACCUACCUUACAUUGGGGGAUAGCCUUUCGAAAGGGAGAUUAAUACCGCAUAAGACAGUAAUUUGGCAUCAAAUAGCUGUUAAAGAUUUAUCGAUGUAAGAUGGGCAUGCGACCAAUUAGUUAGUUGGCGAGGUAAUGGCUCACCAAGACUAUGAUUGGUAGGGGAACUGAGAGGUCAAUCCCCCACACUGGCACUGAGAUACGGGCCAGACUCCUACGGGAGGCAGCAGUAGGGAAUAUUGGGCAAUGGACGCAAGUCUGACCCAGCCAUGCCGCGUGCAGGAUGAAGGCGUUAUGCGUUGUAAACUUCUUUUGUACGGGAACAAAAUGCGACCUGCGGGUUGUACUGAGGGUACCGUAAGAAUAAGCACCGGCUAACUCCGUG